Callithrix jacchus (white-tufted-ear marmoset) is the source of this 518-nucleotide non-coding RNA. NCBI's taxonomy places the organism in Eukaryota, Metazoa, Chordata, Mammalia, Primates, Cebidae. The record is from RefSeq and is a predicted model, not a curated record.
GUCAAAAGGCCAAACUGUGCACUCAUCUUCAGGUCUGCAGCUUGGCCGUCUUCCAAGUGAACCUGCCUUUCAUUCCUGGUCUCACACUUGCCUUGGCCUCUACUGCCUGAUGCCCCUCAAUAGGAAUGCCUUCUUCUGAGGAGGCAAGAAUUGAGGUUGCUGUAGACCUGAUACAGAUUUCCCACCGCUAACAUAUUUUGGUGCUGUGUGACUCAGAUAAGGAAAUGGAGGCUCAGAGUUGGCAGAUAACAUGUUCAAGAUCUUGAAACUAGCAGGUGGCAGAGCUGAGAUUCAUCCGUCUGCAUGUACUCAGGGUCAUUGUAAUGUAAUGCAGCCACUGUUUUAAUCAGCGAGCACGUGGGGUGCAAUGGGAACAUCCAUCUGGGAGCUCAGCACGGGUUGGGUGCAAAGCAUCCUUUGUGAACUGACUUUGUAGAGACUUGAAGAAGGAGUUUGAGUCAGCAAGGUGAAAAUAAAAAGUGAAAAGAUUUUCUAGACACAAGAAACUGUCAGUAAAG